RNAcentral lists this ribosomal RNA (424 nucleotides) under uncultured bacterium. RNAcentral's name for it is "bacterial SSU rRNA". It matches the Rfam family "Bacterial small subunit ribosomal RNA", at positions 356 to 773 of the family's 1533-position model. The record is from RNAcentral.
GGGGAAUAUUGCGCAAUGGGGGGAACCCUGACGCAGCAACGCCGCGUGAGUGAAGAAGGCCUUCGGGUCGUAAAGCUCUGUCGAGAGGGAAGAAGUCUCUAGGGAGAAUAUCUUUAGAGGUGACGGUACCUUUUAAGGAAGCCCCGGCUAACUACGUGCCAGCAGCCGCGGUAAAACGUAGGGGGCGAGCGUUGUCCGGAAUUACUGGGCGUAAAGGGCGUGUAGGCGGCUAGGUAAGUCAGGUGUGAAAACUUUUGGCUCAACCAGGAGACUGCACCUGAAACUGCGUAGCUUGAGGGUAGGAGAGGAAAGUGGAAUUCCUAGUGUAGCGGUGAAAUGCGUAGAUAUUAGGAGGAACACCAGUGGCGAAGGCGACUUUCUGGCCUAACCCUGACGCUGAGGCGCGAAAGCGUGGGGAGCAAAC